Molecule: ribosomal RNA, 429 nt
Filed under: Gemmatimonadota bacterium
Lineage: Bacteria; Pseudomonadati; Gemmatimonadota
Description: Gemmatimonadetes bacterium partial 16S ribosomal RNA
Rfam family: Bacterial small subunit ribosomal RNA
Source: RNAcentral
UAGGGAAUCUUCGGCAAUGGACGAAAGUCUGACCGAGCAACGCCGCGUGAGUGAAGAAGGUUUUCGGAUCGUAAAACUCUGUUGUUAGAGAAGAACAAGGACGUUAGUAACUGAACGUCCCCUGACGGUAUCUAACCAGAAAGCCACGGCUAACUACGUGCCAGCAGCCGCGGUAAUACGUAGGUGGCAAGCGUUGUCCGGAUUUAUUGGGCGUAAAGCGAGCGCAGGCGGUUUCUUAAGUCUGAUGUGAAAGCCCCCGGCUCAACCGGGGAGGGUCAUUGGGAACUGGGAGAAUUGAGUGCAGAAGAGGGGAGUGGAAGUCCAUGUGUAGCGGUGAAAUGCGUAGAUAUAUGGAGGAACACCAGUGGCGAAGGCGGCUCUCUGGUCUGUAACUGACGCUGAGGCUCGAAAGCGUGGGGAGCAAACAGG